This 471-nucleotide ribosomal RNA is filed under the name uncultured bacterium. RNAcentral describes it as "bacterial SSU rRNA". It matches the Rfam family "Bacterial small subunit ribosomal RNA", at positions 28 to 507 of the family's 1533-position model. The record is from RNAcentral.
GACGAACGCUGGCGGCGUGCUUAACACAUGCAAGUCGAACGGAAAGGCCCUGCUUUUGUGGGGUGCUCGAGCGGCGAACGGGUGAGUAACACGUGAGUAACCUGCCCUUGACUUUGGGGAUAACUUCAGGAAAACUGGGGGCUAAUACCGGAUAGGAGCUCCUGCUGCAUGGUGGGGGUUGGAAAGUUUCGGCGGUUGGGGAUGGACUCGCGGCUUAUCAGCUUGUUGGUGGGGUAGUGGCUUACCAAGGCUUUGACGGGUAGCCGGCCUGAGAGGGUGACCGGCCACAUUGGGACUGAGAUACGGCCCAGACUCCUACGGGAGGCAGCAGUGGGGAAUAUUGCACAAUGGGCGGAAGCCUGAUGCAGCAACGCCGCGUGCGGGACGACGGCCUUCGGGUUGUAAACCGCUUUCGCCUGUGACGAAGCGUGAGUGACGGUAAUGGGUAAAGAAGCACCGGCUAACUACGUG